GUCUACGGCCAUACCACCCUGAACGCAUCCAAUCUUGUCCAAUCUCGGGAGCUAAGUAGGGAUGGGCUUGAUUAUACUUGGAUGGGAGAAAAAUAGCCCACUGGAAAAAAGGGCAGUGAAUC
This is a non-coding RNA of Macaca fascicularis (crab-eating macaque), 122 nucleotides long. NCBI's taxonomy places the organism in Eukaryota, Metazoa, Chordata, Mammalia, Primates, Cercopithecidae. The record is from Rfam.